AGCGGCUUGGUUAAGUGGUAUAACGUUCGCCUCCAAAGCGAAAAUUGAGAGUUCGAUUCUUUCAGCCGCUG
This 71-nucleotide transfer RNA is filed under the name Eubacterium sp. RNAcentral describes it as "tRNA-Trp". It matches the Rfam family "tRNA". Rfam says of the family: Transfer RNA (tRNA) molecules are approximately 80 nucleotides in length. Their secondary structure includes four short double-helical elements and three loops (D, anti-codon, and T loops). RNAcentral also lists the same sequence under 3 other names. Lineage: Bacteria; Bacillati; Bacillota; Clostridia; Eubacteriales; Eubacteriaceae. The record is from RNAcentral.